RNAcentral lists this ribosomal RNA (448 nucleotides) under uncultured bacterium. RNAcentral's name for it is "partial 16S ribosomal RNA". It matches the Rfam family "Bacterial small subunit ribosomal RNA", at positions 330 to 793 of the family's 1533-position model. The record is from RNAcentral.
CCCAGACUCCUACGGGAGGCAGCAGUGGGGGAUAUUGCACAAUGGGGGGAACCCUGAUGCAGCGACGCCGCGUGGGUGAAGGAGCGUUUCGGCGCGUAAAGCCCUAUCGGCAGGGAAGAAGGAGGACGGUACCUGACUAAGAAGCCCCGGCUAACUACGUGCCAGCAGCCGCGGUAAUACGUAGGGGGCAAGCGUUAUCCGGAUGGACUGGGUGUAAAGGGGGCGCAGACGGCAGCGCAAGCCAGGAGGGAAAGCCCGGGGCCCAACCCCGGGGCUGCUCUUGGAACUGCGCGGCUGGAGUGCAGGAGGGGGAGGCGGAAUUCCUGGUGUAGCGGUGAAAUGCGUAGAUAUCAGGAGGAACACCGGUGGCGAAGGCGGCCUGCUGGACUGCGACUGACGUUGAGGCCCGAAAGCGUGGGGAGCAAACAGGAUUAGAUACCCGAGUAAG